Molecule: ribosomal RNA, 465 nt
Filed under: Vreelandella stevensii
Lineage: Bacteria; Pseudomonadati; Pseudomonadota; Gammaproteobacteria; Oceanospirillales; Halomonadaceae
Description: partial 16S ribosomal RNA
Rfam family: Bacterial small subunit ribosomal RNA
Source: RNAcentral
CCUACGGGUGGCAGCAGUGGGGAAUAUUGGACAAUGGGGGCAACCCUGAUCCAGCCAUGCCGCGUGUGUGAAGAAGGCCCUCGGGUUGUAAAGCACUUUCAGUGAGGAAGAACGCCUGGUGGUUAAUACCCAUCAGGAAAGACAUCACUCACAGAAGAAGCACCGGCUAACUCCGUGCCAGCAGCCGCGGUAAUACGGAGGGUGCGAGCGUUAAUCGGAAUUACUGGGCGUAAAGCGCGCGUAGGUGGCUUGAUAAGCCGGUUGUGAAAGCCCCGGGCUCAACCUGGGAACGGCAUCCGGAACUGUCAAGCUAGAGUGCAGGAGAGGAAGGUAGAAUUCCCGGUGUAGCGGUGAAAUGCGUAGAGAUCGGGAGGAAUAGCAGUGGCGAAGGCGGCCUUCUGGACUGACACUGACACUGAGGUGCGAAAGCGUGGGUAGCAAACAGGAUUAGAUACCCGGGUAGUC